GUCUCAGGGCGGGGUGAAAAUCCCCACCGGUGGUUAAAGUCCACGAGCGCGUGCGCAUUUCGCACGGUCAGCAGAAUCGGUGCAAUCCCGAUACCGACGGUUAUAGUCCGGAAGAAAGAGCA
RNAcentral lists this non-coding RNA (122 nucleotides) under human gut metagenome. Its description in RNAcentral is "FMN riboswitch (RFN element)". It matches the Rfam family "FMN riboswitch aptamer (RFN element)", at positions 8 to 131 of the family's 138-position model. From Rfam's summary of the family: The RFN element is a highly conserved domain that is found frequently in the 5'-untranslated regions of prokaryotic mRNAs that encode for flavin mononucleotide (FMN) biosynthesis and transport proteins. This element is a metabolite-dependent riboswitch that directly binds FMN in the absence of proteins. RNAcentral also lists the same sequence under 1 other name. The record is from RNAcentral.